UGAACUGUAGUGGACCCACCACAGGGAUGAAGGUCACCUUUAUAGAGGAAGAAAAAUUACAGGAAGAAUUAUGUAGUGCUGCAGCUUUUCAGUGUGGUAAAUUUAAGGUGCAGAGGUCUCCCGUUGCGACGGAGUAUGCCAGUGUAAGCGCAUAGACAAAUGUGGUGACAGACUUAUCAGAAACACUGGCUGAAAUGAAGCUGUUGAUCCAAACAUCCUCAUCAUCCUUUAUCCUAAAGCCAAAGCAAAAAUGAGACUUCCCAGUGGGUGUGG
Long non-coding RNA from Grus americana (Whooping crane), 273 nucleotides. RefSeq lists it as uncharacterized. The record is from RefSeq and is a predicted model, not a curated record. NCBI's taxonomy places the organism in Eukaryota, Metazoa, Chordata, Aves, Gruiformes, Gruidae. The transcript has 3 exons.